AGUGAACGCUGGCGGUAGGCCUAACACAUGCAAGUCGAACGGCAGCACAGUAAGAGCUUGCUCUUACGGGUGGCGAGUGGCGGACGGGUGAGGAAUACAUCGGAAUCUACUUUUUCGUGGGGGAUAACGUAGGGAAACUUACGCUAAUACCGCAUACGACCUACGGGUGAAAGCAGGGGAUCUUCGGACCUUGCGCGAUUGAAUGAGCCGAUGUCGGAUUAGCUAGUUGGCGGGGUAAAGGCCCACCAAGGCGACGGUCCGUAGCUGGUCUGAGAGGAUAGUCAGCCACUGUAGAACUGAGAAACGAUCUAGGCGCCGAGGAGAGGCAGCAGAGGGAAAUAUUGAACAAGGGGGGCAAGCCUGAUCCAGCCAUACCGCGUGGGUGAAGAAGGCCUUCGGGUUGUAAAGCCCUUUUGUUGGGAAAGAAAAGCAGCAGGUUAAAACCCCGCUGUUCUGACGGUACCCAAAGAAGAAGCACCGGCUAACUUCGU
RNAcentral lists this ribosomal RNA (491 nucleotides) under uncultured bacterium. RNAcentral's name for it is "partial 16S ribosomal RNA". It matches the Rfam family "Bacterial small subunit ribosomal RNA", at positions 29 to 506 of the family's 1533-position model. The record is from RNAcentral.